AUUGAACGCUGGCGGCAUGCCUAACACAUGCAAGUCGAACGGUAACGACGGGAGCUUGCUCCCGGGCGACGAGUGGCGGACGGGUGAGUAAUACUUAGGGAAUCUGCCCAGUAGUGGGGGACAACUCGAGGAAACUCGAGCUAAUACCGCAUACGCCCUACGGGGGAAAGUGGAGGAUCUUCGGACUUCACGCUAUUGGAUGAGCCUAAGUCGGAUUAGCUUGUAGGUAGGGUAACGGCCUACCUAGGCAACGAUCCGUAGCUGGUCUGAGAGGACGAUCAGCCACACUGGAACUGAGACACGGUCCAGACUCCUACGGGAGGCAGCAGUGGGGAAUAUUGGACAAUGGGGGCGAACCCUGAUCCAGCAAUGCCGCGUGUGUGAAGAAGGCCUGCGGGUUGUAAAGCACUUUCAGUAGAGAAGAAAAGCUUACGGUUAAUACCCGUGAGUCUUGACGUAACCUACAGAAGAAGCACCGGCUAACUCCGUG
RNAcentral lists this ribosomal RNA (490 nucleotides) under uncultured bacterium. RNAcentral's name for it is "bacterial SSU rRNA". It matches the Rfam family "Bacterial small subunit ribosomal RNA", at positions 30 to 507 of the family's 1533-position model. The record is from RNAcentral.